Molecule: ribosomal RNA, 390 nt
Filed under: uncultured soil bacterium
Lineage: Bacteria
Description: bacterial SSU rRNA
Rfam family: Bacterial small subunit ribosomal RNA
Source: RNAcentral
AGAAUCAACGCUGGCGGCGUGCCUCAGACAUGCAAGUCGAACGAUUAAGGCUCCCUUCGGGGAGUGUAUAGAGUGGCGCACGGGUGAGUAACACGUAAGUAAUCUACCCUCGAGUGGGGAAUAACGUCCGGAAACGGACGCUAAUACCGCAUAAUUGCAGCGGCACCGCAAGGUGACAGUUGUUAAAGAUUUAUCGCUUGAGGAGGAGCUUGCGGCAGAUUAGCUAGUUGGUAAGGUAAUGGCUUACCAAGGCUACGAUCUGUAACCGGUCUAAGAGGACGGUCGGUCACACUGACACUGAAUACGGGUCAGACUCCGUACGGAGGCAGCAGUCGGGAAUUUGGGCAAGUGGGUACGAAAGCCGUACGACCCGACGCGAACGCCGGCGUA